Long non-coding RNA from Myotis myotis, 1084 nucleotides. RefSeq lists it as uncharacterized. NCBI's taxonomy places the organism in Eukaryota, Metazoa, Chordata, Mammalia, Chiroptera, Vespertilionidae. The record is from RefSeq and is a predicted model, not a curated record. The transcript has 3 exons.
CCAGGCUCUGCGGUGGGCUGUGCAUAGUGUGGGCUUCCUGGGCCCCACAGGCCAGGGCAGGAAAAGACUGCAGCAGGAGGGACACAUCUCAAAGGGCCUGCUGGGUCGGCUCGAAGCACACUUCUUGUAGACAGUGUCUGGGAAGGACCUCAGGGGACAGAACUUGCCGGUGCCCUCAGCGCACAUGAAGACACCGUUCUCAUACACCACCCGCCCCCGGCUGAUGGUGACCAGCGGCACGCCAUGGCAGCGCAUGUUCUCGUACAGGUUGAAGUCUCCUCCCUGCACCUGGGUGCUGGCCGAGAUGGUCCUGGCGGGGAAGAAGUGGUGGAAGAGGGAGCUCUGAGGAGAGGCAAAGACGCCACAGCUCAACGGGAACGGAGGAAAAGAAAAUUGAGACACCAGGAGGACACACAGAGGAAACCCCACGUGAGGAGGGAGAAGACGGCCACCUGCAAGCCAAGGAGGGAGGCCGCAGGAUGCAUCCACCCUGCCGACACCUCCAUCUGACUUCUAGCUCCCAGAACCGUGAGGAAACAGAUUUCUGCCGUGUGAGCCCCCAAGCUGCGGUAUGUUUUAAAGCAGCCCUCGCACCCUCGCACACGGGGCUAAACUCUAGGGUCUUUCCACCAACAGCUGACCCAUCACAGGGACAGGGACCAGCCCCUGGCUUCAGGAUGCAGAACAGGGCUUCUCGAGGCCCUGACAGAGAGCACAGUAUGGGGGCCCUGUGUGGGCUUUCUUUCGUUUUCAGCUUCCCGCACAUUUCUGUCUACCCUGUCCACUGCCAGCUUGUGCACCUAGAAAAGCGCCCGCCAAACAGCAGCACUUAAUAAAUUCAGGGGUGGGCAAGGGUGGGCAAUAAUAGAACACAGAGUUCUAUUAUUAUUAACUAAUUAAUUAUUGCAUUACUUACUAUUAUUAACCUACUUUUGCCACCCCUGUAUUUGAUGACUGAAUGAAAUGUAAUAUUAAAAACGCGGCCAUGCCGAAACCGGUUUGGCUCAGUGGAUAGAGCGUCGGCUUGCGGACUGAAAGGUCCCAGGUUUGAUUCCGGUCAAGGGCAUGUACCUGGGUUGCGGGC